This 308-nucleotide long non-coding RNA is filed under the name Mytilus galloprovincialis (Mediterranean mussel). The record is from RNAcentral. Lineage: Eukaryota; Metazoa; Mollusca; Bivalvia; Mytilida; Mytilidae.
UGUAACCAAAGAAAAUAAACAAAAUGACAAUAAUACAUAAAUAACAACAGACUACUAGCAGUUAACUAACAUGCCAGCUCCAGACUUCAAUUAAAUUGACUGAAAGAUUAUGAUUUCAUCAUAUGAACAUCAGGCACAAUCCUUCCCGUUAGGGGUUUAGUAUCAUACCAUCAUAACAUAUAUGAGAAGAACAUAACCCGUGUCAUGCCAACAACUGUUUUUUGAAUAAAUGUGUUUAGUUCCGAUGCAAAGACCCUAUAAGUGAAUCAAUAUUAACGCCAAAAUAUGCAAUCUUUAAUGACCUGACA